This 2140-nucleotide long non-coding RNA is filed under the name Eutrema salsugineum. RNAcentral's name for it is "long non-coding RNA (ESAL_LNC001712)". Lineage: Eukaryota; Viridiplantae; Streptophyta; Magnoliopsida; Brassicales; Brassicaceae. The record is from RNAcentral.
GUAGAUACAUAUUGUACAUUCUUAUAUGAUUAUCGUGUGAACAUGACCAUGUUUCUUAUAUGUUCUGCUCUGAUUAUGUGUACAUAGUAAUUGUGCCCAUAUGGACAUGGCUACCUCGCUAUGUUUAUAUCUUAUUAUUGAGUAUGGUUUUGCAUAUUUUGUAUUCUUUUUGAUUAACAUACAAUAUAUUGAGUAUAUGUUGUAUUUUAAGAAAAGACUAAAUAAAGUUGAUUUGUCCAGGUAUUACAUCUCAAACUGUCCACCAAAGGUUGUCCAUUAUACAUCAUCUAUUAUAAGUUGUUCCACCUAAACCUCGUAAAUCAAAAUAUUGUCCAACAAUGCACAACAUGGUACACCAAACAUAGUUCUAGACAGAAUGUAAUUUGGACCACAUCCAUAUGGCCAUAUCUUUUACAUCUAAUUUAUGUCCAUUGAAGUAAGUACAUAUAAAGGCAAACAAAUAAGGAUUGCAUACAUGUAUAUGUGGACAUGUGCAUGUGGACAUGGACAUGUCACUAACCAAAGCGAAACAGAAAAACAAAUCUACGAAAAAACAAUUUAGAAGAAAAAUAUGUAUAGAUUAGUCUCAUCGAUAGCUUAAAUCCACCAUUUUGGUACACUAUGGACGUGGCCACAACGACAGAGAGAUCUGAGAAAAAGAGAGAGAGAAAUCCAAGAAAAAAAUGUGGAGAAGAAGAAGAAGAGAGAUCUGAGAAACAGAGAGAGAGAAAUCCAAGAGUAAGAAAACAAGAUGGAGAAGAGGGAUCUGAGAGAUCUGAGAGGAAUAGAACAAGGUGGAAAAGAGGAAGAAGAGGGAUCUGAGAGAGAAUAAGGAAAAGAAAUGAUGAUAAAUAUUCAUGUCAAAUAAGAGAUUAUGAGGCAGAUCUGAGACAUGGAGGAAAAAAAGAGAGUAUGUGUCGUUCUUUUCUCUCUUUUUUCUGUUUGUUUGUUUUUUAAAAAAAAAUUAACAAGACAAUCUAUUAAGAAAAAAUUUGUUUACAUCAGUUUGGUUUUUCAACAAAAAUAUGUCAUAAGGUUCUUGUUGUCAUAUUAUCUUCAUAAGUCAAAGAAAAGUGUUAUCUUAAACACUAGUGCCAAAAAGUGUAAAUAUAAACUCAAAAGUGUCAAAACGUGUAAACACCUCUAUUUAUAAGUAUAACUACUAUGCAUAGUUAAAUUUGUCUGUGUAUUAUAAUGGAAAAUUUCCAUAAAAAAAUCUUCAAAUAUUUAACCUUGAACUAUUUGCGAUCUUACUUUAAACCUCGAACUUAAUUGUUUUUCCAAUAUAAAUCUUCAAGUCUUAUAAAUUGUGCCUGAGUGAGAGUUAGCCAACAGUCCACUAUAACUGUGCUUAACAAACUAAACUCUUGUUAACAAUAAUAAUUCGUCUGUUAAUUUUUUAAAACACAUGUUUCUUAACUCAAAUGGGUCGGGUUUUUGAGGACUGAAAAUUUGAAGAAAGUGAUUGAAGACUCAAAGAAGGUAACUCAACGAUUUUGUUUCUAGGUUUGGUUUGGAGUUUUUCAAUUUGUUUCAUCCUCGUUUUAUGACUUUCUGGUUUUAUUGGUGAUUUAAGGAUUUUAUGAAUAUAGGUUCAUGAUGUUGUCAUUUGUGUUUAUAAUAUUAUUUGAGAAGGCAACGAGUGGCCUACAAAUAUAAUCAUACCUGCGAUGAAAUUGAUUCGAUGAAAGUAAAGAAUAAGUUAAAAACUUUUUUCUUUAUAGAAGAAGUGAGGCAGUUUUUUUUGUAGAAUAGUUAGAAAAACACAUACAUUUAUAAUAACAUCAAAUAUAUAAUAUAUAUUUUCUCCUGUCUUGGUAUGUGUAUUACUAAAAAAAAAGUGUCAUACCCUUGGUUUUGUUUGGGUUUUAUAUGCCAAGCGUUUCCUCUUUUUUUCUAACAAAAAGACAAAAGAGAAGUUCAUUAUUGUGAUUCAUCCUCAAUAAUUUAUAUGAAACAAAAUUAAGAGGUCCAUCUGCUCCUCUUAAAAUAUGUGUUCUUUUCACUUUCACAUUCAAACCCUCAAGGCUCUGAAUGAAGAAAGUGGAUCAGAGAGUGCGGAUCAAAUGGUUCAAACAGACGGAUCAAAUACAAAUCAGGUGGACCUGGCGGAACAAGUACAGAUCAAGCGGUCCAAAAU